UGGUGUGUUUCCUCCGUUUUAGUUUGUAACCCGGAUUUGUUUUCUCUCGAUCGAUUUAUGACUUUCGAGUAGCGCUAUACUACUUUUGCCUUUAUAUAUGAUAUUUGUUAACAAAAUGUUCUUUUCUGUAUGUCUUGGCGUUUUUGUUUUUUUUUUUUGCACUUUGGUGUUCCUUUGUUAUCCUCUUAUAGUUGAUGCGUUUCCAUUGGAAACCGUUUUGGUUUGUAACUGGAUUUGUUUUCUCUCAAUCGAUUUAUGACUUUUGAACACGGGAUUUAUGACUUUCGAACAGCGAUAUACUACUGUUGCCUUUAUGUAUACAACUUUUUCCUUUAUUUCGAAAUUUCGUUUGACUGUUUGAAUCUUAUCAUUUUGAUGAAACUAGACACUUUUUUUUAAUUCAGUUUUAAAAUUCUAAAA
Molecule: long non-coding RNA, 420 nt
Filed under: Mytilus galloprovincialis (Mediterranean mussel)
Lineage: Eukaryota; Metazoa; Mollusca; Bivalvia; Mytilida; Mytilidae
Source: RNAcentral